Cavia porcellus (domestic guinea pig) is the source of this 793-nucleotide long non-coding RNA. RefSeq lists it as uncharacterized. NCBI's taxonomy places the organism in Eukaryota, Metazoa, Chordata, Mammalia, Rodentia, Caviidae. The record is from RefSeq and is a predicted model, not a curated record. The transcript has 3 exons.
CAGUCUCUUGUCCUAACCUACUUGCCAUAAGACCUUGACCUUACACAACCCUUUCUCCAAGCCCUAAUAAUGUGGUGGUCUAGAGAUUCCAGAUAAUUGACUGUGAAGUUUCCUGAACUGGAGCAUGCUGAGAGAGGGAAUGGGAGCUGAGCUCCUCUUUCCCAAUGCAUCUGUUCAUUCACGAGGAUCCUCAGGUAAGUCUGCUGAUGUGUCACAUAGGGUGAUGCACCUCUUCAUCUACACAAUUCCUAAUGUAAGUCUGCUGGUGUUCAUAUACAAGACAGGGCAAUGCAUCCGUUUAUCUACGUGGAUACUACAGGAAGUCUGCUGAUAUCCGCUUCCAGGACAGGGCUACGUCUUAGGCUUCUUUGGUUGCUAUGGUUUCAAUGUUCUGUCCUAUCUAGAAUCAAACUUUGAGGUCAUCAUAACAAUGGGGCUCAUGAGAUGGUGAUGUCCUGAGGAUGGAGCACUUAGAAAGACCACAAUGGAGGGAACUGAUCAUUUUGGCUUUUCUGUUUCCUGCCAUGUGAAGUCACAGGAACUACUCAGGCAAUCUUGUCUUCAAUUCUUCAUAAGAACUUGAGCAAGUUUUUGAUAGGACAGCCCAGACCUGACAUCAGCGUAAGAGGACAAUGCACAUGAUGCCGCUGCUCCAAGCAGAGACCCCUGUGACCUACUUGGCCCUAGCAACAGCAACGACCAGCAAGAAUCUGACGGGAGGAAGACCUCCAGCACCUCCCCGUCUCUGGACCCAUCUCAGCUCUCCUUGCUCUCCUCCCCAAUAAAAACAUGC